GUGUGCUGUCAGCUGACUGUGCUCACUGAGUCAACAGUUAAAAUGAGCUGUGGAAUCUUACACAGAGUGACACAUCUAAAGGUGGGUUGGAAUAAAAAACCCGAGAGUCAAACACACCGACACAGUCUGAAUGAUCUGAUGCUGAUCUGCCCCAUGUGAGACACUGUGUGACCCCUGCACCUGCUGUCAGAAUCUCAAGCUAACAAGCAACCGGCAAGUCCAGCUGCUGGAAAAGGAGAAAGAUGAGAAAGAGCAGAAAGUUUCCUGAAAUG
Molecule: long non-coding RNA, 272 nt
Organism: Scatophagus argus
Lineage: Eukaryota; Metazoa; Chordata; Actinopteri; Scatophagidae
Exons: 3
Source: RefSeq, a predicted model, not a curated record